This 403-nucleotide ribosomal RNA is filed under the name uncultured bacterium. Its description in RNAcentral is "partial 16S ribosomal RNA". It matches the Rfam family "Bacterial small subunit ribosomal RNA", at positions 30 to 526 of the family's 1533-position model. The record is from RNAcentral.
AUUGAACGCUGGCGGCAGGCCUAACACAUGCAAGUCGAGCGAGCGGCGGACGGGUGAGUAAUGUAUGGGGACUGCCCGUUAGAGGGGGAUAACUACUGGAAACGGUAGCUAAUACCGCAUACUAUCGGAUAACCCAUAUGGGAUUAGACAGUGGGGGAGGUAAUGGCUAACCCAGGCGACGAUCCCUAGCUGGUCUGAGAGGAUGAUCAGCCACACUGGAACUGGGACACGGCCCCGACUCCUACGGCGGCAGCAGUGGGGAAUAUUGCACAAUGGGCGCAAGCCUGAUGCAGCCAUGCCGCGUGUAUGAAGAAGGCCCUAGGGUUGUAAAGUACUUUCAGUCGGGAGGCGUUACCGACAGAAGAAGCACCGGCUAACUCCGUGCCAGCAGCCGCGGUAAUAC